GACGAACGCUGGCGGCGUGCUUAACACAUGCAAGUCGAACGGAAAGGCCCUGCUUUUGCGGGGUGCUCGAGUGGCGAACGGGUGAGUAACACGUGAGUAACCUGCCCCUGACUUUGGGAUAACUUCAGGAAACUGGGGCUAAUACCGGAUAGGAGCUCUUGCUGCUUGGUGGGGGUUGGAAAGUUUCGGCGGUUGGGGAUGGACUCGCGGCUUAUCAGCUUGUUGGUGGGGUAGUGGCUUACCAAGGCUUUGACGGGUAGCCGGCCUGAGAGGGUGACCGGCCACAUUGGGACUGAGAUACGGCCCAGACUCCUACGGGAGGCAGCAGUGGGGAAUAUUGCACAAUGGGCGGAAGCCUGAUGCAGCAACGCCGCGUGCGGGAUGACGGCCUUCGGGUUGUAAACCGCUUUCGCCUGUGACGAAGCGAGAGUGACGGUAAUGGGUGAAGAAGCACCGGCUAACUACGUG
RNAcentral lists this ribosomal RNA (468 nucleotides) under uncultured bacterium. RNAcentral's name for it is "partial 16S ribosomal RNA". It matches the Rfam family "Bacterial small subunit ribosomal RNA", at positions 28 to 507 of the family's 1533-position model. The record is from RNAcentral.